UACGUAGGGUGCAAGCGUUGUCCGGAAUUAUUGGGCGUAAAGAGCUCGUAGGCGGUUUGUUGCGUCGGCUGUGAAAUCCCGAGGCUCAACCUCGGGUCUGCAGUCGAUACGAGCAGACUAGAGUGUUGCAGGGGAGACUGGAAUUCCUGGUGUAGCGGUGAAAUGCGCAGAUAUCAGGAGGAACACCGGUGGCGAAGGCGGGUCUCUGGGCAACAACUGACGCUGGAGGAGCGAAAGCGUGGGGAGCGAACAGG
This 254-nucleotide ribosomal RNA is filed under the name uncultured bacterium. Its description in RNAcentral is "partial 16S ribosomal RNA". It matches the Rfam family "Bacterial small subunit ribosomal RNA", at positions 524 to 776 of the family's 1533-position model. The record is from RNAcentral.